GGGUUGUGAGGUUAAGCGACUAAGCGUACACGGUGGAUGCCCUGGCAGUCAGAGGCGAUGAAGGACGUGCUAAUCUGCGAUAAGCGUCGGUAAGGUGAUAUGAACCGUUAUAACCGGCGAUUUCCGAAUGGGGAAACCCAGUGUGAUUCGUCACACUAUCAUUAACUGAAUCCAUAGGUUAAUGAGGCGAACCGGGGGAACUGAAACAUCUAAGUA
RNAcentral lists this ribosomal RNA (216 nucleotides) under Escherichia coli. RNAcentral's name for it is "partial 23S ribosomal RNA". It matches the Rfam family "Bacterial large subunit ribosomal RNA", at positions 1 to 208 of the family's 2925-position model. Lineage: Bacteria; Pseudomonadati; Pseudomonadota; Gammaproteobacteria; Enterobacterales; Enterobacteriaceae. The record is from RNAcentral.